GCUACGGAAAGCAAUUUGCUCAGAUGAAGAAUAUUGGUAUGCCUUAUUCAGGAAACAUAUUUCCUAAAUGUGCUAUUUACAAGAAAUUCUGACAUAGGACAUCCAGAACAUAUUCUAGGACCUUCCAUAUGUGUCAUGGACUAACUCCUGUGUUCUGGUUCUACAGUAUGAAAGUAACCACCCAAUCACUCAGCCAAACUGCCAUAUAUGUGUCUGAUACCUAGGGAUACAAGCGUUGGGGACUAUUGGGAAACUUUGUCUUCCAAUUUUUUUCUCCUCAUAUCACUCUUUGAUACUUCCCGAUGUUUCGUGGUUCAAUGCCUCCUGAAGUGCCCCCCAAAAAAUCUUGAAGUGGAAAAACUUUUAGAAGAAAUUAUAAUCUAGCACAUCCACAAUACAUUCUAGGACCUCCCCUUUGUGUUGUGGACUAACUUCUGGCUUCUGGUUCUACAAUCUGACAGUAACUAUCCACGGGGAUACGCUAUUCUGCCCCACCACUUUGCCAAACUGCCAUAUGUGUGUUCGAUACCUGGAGAUACUGGCAUCAGAGUAUUGGGGAACUUUGACUUUCAAAAUUAGGAAAUCAUGAUAUCCCACCAUUACUCUUCGACGCUUCCGACACUUCAUGGUUUAGAACCCCCUGAAGUUCCCUCCCCAUAAAAAGAUUUGAAUCUAACCCCACGAAAGCCAUUAGAUCUAUAACUAUAAACCCUAGCAAACCUUAUCAAUCUCAGAUCUAACCUGCGAACCCUUGACGCUGCCCUUGGUGAAUCCUUGACAUCGCUUCCUUGGUCCAUUGGGCGAUGUCUGCGCCAUACGACAGCAAUGGCGCUCCAACCCAGCAAGCCAUGAGGAAGAGGUGGCUUCGCUUGCCUCGGCGGAAGGAGCGGCUUGGUUACUCAUCAGCCGGCGGUGACGAGACGCACAAGGAACACCGAAUCGAUGCGCCAGGCCGCCGGCGUAGGAGGAUGGCAACCCUUUUGGUGGAAGAGGGCAUCAUGGAACUGCUCUUGCAGAGGCGUUGGCCUGGCGGCGCUGCAUCCGCCCCAUGGGCGGUGGCUGCCAAGCGCAAGGGCAGCCCUAGGUUUCUUUGCGUGUAGCCGUGUUUGCUGCGAGCAUAUAGGCCUAUAUGGGCCCAGCCAGCUGUCCGUCACCCUUUCCAUUUUCUCUUGGGCCAAAUAUGAAUACGAAUAUUAUUUGGAACAUAAUUAAGAAUAUUUGGUGUGUUUUGUGAAGAAACGGUUAGGGAGUAGGACGAAUAUGCCCUUCUAUUGUAAUAUCCAAUUUAGAGUAUUAGGAGACUAGAUAUACAGUUUUUAUUUAGGCAGUAACAUUUUUCCAUACUCAUACUUGUCUUUGUUGCCAUAUCGGCAUGUCAGCACUCACCACCCAUAUCGUGUAUUCAGGAAGCUUAGGAGAUAUUCAAGCAGACUUGUCUUAGGCUCUUGUAGUAUCCUUGAGAAGUUAUCAAAUUCUAUUGAGCACUCAGCCCCAGCUUCAAUAGCUCCCUUUCACAUCAGCUCCUGAUAAUGUGUGUUAUGCUUCAGUGUGUUUAGUAUACAACUGAACUAUCAGAAUAAAAAAAGUGUUGACGAAAUGCAUACGAUUCACAUGGCUAUGAGUCAAGUUCAUCUAGAGGUUGAAUUCUUGGACAUAGAAAUGAUCAGCUAGGUUUUGUGUUAUUCACCUCAUCUUCGAGUUGAAUUCUUGCUUCUCGUUUUACAAUGUAACUCAGCAACUCAAAAGAUAGAGUAUUUGCUUGUGUUUAUUACUGUUCGGCGCACCUGUUUGACGUCCAGGACUUCCUCGGUUUGAGUCUCCAAAUUGUCAGACAAACCAAUUUUAUUAGUCAAUUUGGGCUUUCAUGCAGCUCGUUUGCACUCUCUUUGCUCUUUGUUGAGUGCAUUCCUUUUAUUUACUUGAGUUAUGAUGUAUUGUUUCUCCUCUACAAAGACCAAUAUGGAACGUCAAUAAGAAUGUUCCUUCUGGGAGGCAGUUAUGGAACUAGUGCUUUCCUCUGAUGCACCUUGCACCUUUUUUCUGGAAAUUUCAGGCUUACGGUUUACGGCCUUGCAACUGGAUGACAUACGUCUAUGUUUCCAUUCCUUUAAUGGUUGUUACCUCCACUGCUACUUUUUUUUUCUCACGACUUAUCUGUGACUGCUGUUUGUAUCAGUUUCGCGGCACCUAGCCACUUGAAAGGAUAUGGUAUGAUUAAAUACAUUAAACAUCAUAUACCCUGUUUUACAAUAGGGAUAUUCUGUGUCUUGGUUUGGCAUAUGUGGGAUUGUGUUCCCAUUGUGCAGCUAGGAAGGCAGGCAGCACCGUAGCAGCAGGUCCAGAGUUCACGUCGAACUCUAAUACCUUUUGUUACAAAAGAAAAGUGGUGCGUGCCUACCCAUUCGUGUUUUACCCUUAAGCAAAAUAUAGACCUGACAUAGCAAUUUUUUCUGUAUCCAUCCACUGUGUAUUGGCCAGUGUGGUGAUGCAUUUUGUUUUGCUUCUGUUGCUGCUACUAUAUGUAUUGUGCAGAAUAUAUCAUCAUUAUAUAUUUUUUAUGUAAAAUAUCAUAUUCUAAUGGUAAGCACAUGUUCUUUUAUACCACGUUGCAAUGUUGCUUGAUUCUAGCUUUUUUUUUAAUUCAGAUGUGAUUCAAGCAACAUUUGCUAUUUUGAAGGGUGAAUUCAGUCAAACGAAUUGUGUUUCAACGCGUGUAAUUUUUGCCACCCAUACUGCUAAUGGACCAACAGCUUUUGUUCGGUAUCAGCAUUGAACGACUUAGGGCUCCUUUUGAUUUAUAAGAAUUUGACAGGAACUUUGGAGGAUUUGAGUCAGUAGGAUUUGCUUUUCCUUGGGAAUUUUCCCUUCUGCUACAGUUAUUUUGUUUCUCUUAUGAUGUGCCAAACAAUCUUUGAUGUUGAAUUACAUGAGACACCAAUGCUUCGUUUU
This 2949-nucleotide long non-coding RNA is filed under the name Triticum aestivum (bread wheat). RNAcentral describes it as "long non-coding RNA (TAES_LNC026913)". The record is from RNAcentral. Lineage: Eukaryota; Viridiplantae; Streptophyta; Magnoliopsida; Poales; Poaceae.